CCAGUUGUAAAUGAGAACUUGUUCUCAACUGACCUCCCUGGUGAAAUAAAGGUGUUCUCAACUAGCCUACCUGGUUAAAUAAAGGUGUUCUCAACUGGCCUACCUGGUUAAAUAAAGGUGUUCUCAACUGGCCUACCUGGUUAAAUAAAGGUGUUCUUAACUGGCCUACCUGGUUAAAUAAAGGUGUUCUCAACUUGCCUACCUGGUUAAAUAAAGGUGUUCUCAACUGGCCUACCUGGUUAAAUAAAGGUGUUCUCAACUGGCCUAACUGGUUAAAUAAAGGUGUUCUCAACUGGCCUACCUGGUUAAAUAAAGGUGUUCUCAACUGGCCUCCCUGGUUAAAUAAAGGUGUUCUCAACUAGCCUACCUGGUUAAAUAAAGGUGUUCUCAACUAGCCUACCUGGUUAAAUAAAGGUGUUCUCAACUGGCCUACCUGGUUAAAUAAAGGUGUUCUCAACUAGCCUACCUGGUUAAAUAAAGGUGUUCUCAACUGGCCUACCUGGUUAAAUAAAGGUGUUCUCAACUGGCCUACCUGGUUAAAUAAAGGUGUUCUCAAC
Oncorhynchus tshawytscha (Chinook salmon) is the source of this 557-nucleotide long non-coding RNA. The record is from Ensembl. Lineage: Eukaryota; Metazoa; Chordata; Actinopteri; Salmoniformes; Salmonidae.